CACUACCACCAUAGCCACCACCUUCUCAAGCUUGAACCACCCUAGAACCACCACCACCUCAUACUUUCGAAAAUUGCAAAAUCACCCCCACAAAAAGAUGUAUUUUCCUUUCUUCUCCAUUGGCUUUGAACUCUCCAAAAACUCUAUAAAUACAUCCAAUGCCCAAGAUCAAAAUACACUCUCCACUUCCAAUCUCACUAUCUACAAGUUUAAGGUCUCCUUAUAUUUCAACAAGAGGAGAAUUUUCGGCCAAGCUUAGGAGUAAGCUUCUCAUCCCUCUCUUCUUCCUUCUUCUUUUCCGAAAGAGCAAGGCUCUUCUUCCUCUAAAGUUCUUUUGUUUUUCUUCUUAUUUUCUUAAUGCCUAAUCUAACUCUUAAUCUCUUCUUGUAUUAGAGAGAAAAGAGCUAACAAAUCCUUCCCCUAAAGAGUAUAGGU
RNAcentral lists this long non-coding RNA (435 nucleotides) under Erythranthe guttata (spotted monkey flower). Its description in RNAcentral is "long non-coding RNA (EGUT_LNC002440)". Lineage: Eukaryota; Viridiplantae; Streptophyta; Magnoliopsida; Lamiales; Phrymaceae. The record is from RNAcentral.